GGCAGGGCCACGUCGCGCCGCUGAUGCAGCUGGCGCGCCUCCUCCACGCCCGGGGCGCGCGCGUCACCUUCGUCUACACCCAGUACAACUACCGCCGCCUCCUGCGCGCCAAGGGCGAGGCCGCCGUCAGGCCCCCCGCCACCUCCUCCGCGAGGUUCCGCAUCGAGGUCAUCGACGACGGCCUCUCCCUCUCCGUGCCGCAGAACGACGUCGGGGGGCUCGUCGACUCCCUGCGCAAAAACUGCCUCCACCCGUUCCGCGCCCUGCUGCGCCGCCUGG
This 279-nucleotide long non-coding RNA is filed under the name Sorghum bicolor (sorghum). Its description in RNAcentral is "long non-coding RNA (SBIC_LNC000025)". Lineage: Eukaryota; Viridiplantae; Streptophyta; Magnoliopsida; Poales; Poaceae. The record is from RNAcentral.